CCUGAGGGAGCCGUGGAGGUUGGGUGUUGCUCGCGGGCUCCGAUCAUCAUAAUCUUCACCAAUCAGUGGAAGUGGCACCAAGGGCAUUGGUGGUGUGGUUGCCCUCUGGUCGAGUCCCGAGAAAUGGUUGUUAAGUGUUUUCCCUCGACGAUCAAUUGCAAGCUUCUGAACGGGGCUGCCUCCAUCUGCUCCCUCCUCUCCUGCUGCUGCUGCUAGCAUCUUCGGGGGCGCCAGAGAUGUCCAUCAGGGCGACGUGGGCGCGUGGCACAGGGUCACUGCGCCUGCGAGACGGCCGUGAGAAGGACCGGGCCUUGACGGAGCUCGAGAAUGUCUCCAAAGGUAAGUCAUUCAAGGGCGGCGC
Molecule: long non-coding RNA, 361 nt
Filed under: Penaeus japonicus
Lineage: Eukaryota; Metazoa; Arthropoda; Malacostraca; Decapoda; Penaeidae
Description: uncharacterized LOC122255230
Source: RNAcentral